This 497-nucleotide ribosomal RNA is filed under the name uncultured bacterium. Its description in RNAcentral is "partial 16S ribosomal RNA". It matches the Rfam family "Bacterial small subunit ribosomal RNA", at positions 28 to 507 of the family's 1533-position model. The record is from RNAcentral.
GAUGAACGCUGGCGGCGUGCCUAAUACAUGCAAGUCGAGCGAACGGACGAGAAGCUUGCUUUUCUGAUGUUAGCGGCGGACGGGUGAGUAACACGUGGAUAACCUACCUAUAAGACUGGGAUAACUUCGGGAAACCGGAGCUAAUACCGGAUAAUAUUUUGAACCGCAUGGUUCAAAAGUGAAAGACGGUCUUGCUGUCACUUAUAGAUGGAUCCGCGCUGCAUUAGCUAGUUGGUAAGGUAACGGCUUACCAAGGCAACAAUGCAUAGCCGACCUGAGAGGGUGAUCGGCCACACUGGAACUGAGACACGGUCCAGACUCCUACGGGAGGCAGCAGUAGGGAAUCUUCCGCAAAGGGCGAAAGCCUGACGGAGCAACGCCGCGUGAGUGAUGAAGGUCUUCGGAUCGUAAAACUCUGUUAUUAGGGAAGAACAUAUGUGUAAGUAACUGUGCACAUCUUGACGGUACCUAAUCAGAAAGCCACGGCUAACUACGUG